RNAcentral lists this ribosomal RNA (290 nucleotides) under uncultured bacterium. Its description in RNAcentral is "partial 16S ribosomal RNA". It matches the Rfam family "Bacterial small subunit ribosomal RNA", at positions 790 to 1084 of the family's 1533-position model. The record is from RNAcentral.
GUAGUCCACGCCCUAAACGAUGAUUACUCGAAGUGUGCGAUACACAGCACGCCUCUGAGCGAAAGCAUUAAGUAAUCCACCUGGGAAGUACGACCGCAAGGUUGAAACUCAAAGGAAUUGACGGGGGCCCGCACAAGCGGAGGAGCAUGUGGUUUAAUUCGAUGAUACGCGAGGAACCUUACCUGGGCUUGAAAGUUAGUGAAUGCCGUAGAAACAUGGCAGCAAGCAAUUGCACGAAACUAGGUGCUGCAUGGCUGUCGUCAGCUCGUGCCGUGAGGUGUUGGGUUAAG